RNAcentral lists this ribosomal RNA (253 nucleotides) under uncultured bacterium. RNAcentral describes it as "partial 16S ribosomal RNA". It matches the Rfam family "Bacterial small subunit ribosomal RNA", at positions 524 to 776 of the family's 1533-position model. The record is from RNAcentral.
UACGUAGGGUGCAAGCGUUGUCCGGAAUUAUUGGGCGUAAAGAGCUCGUAGGCGGUUUGUCGCGUCUGCUGUGAAAACCCGGGGCUCAACUCCGGGCCUGCAGUCGAUACGGGCAGACUAGAGUUCGGUAGGGGAGACUGGAAUUCCUGGUGUAGCGGUGAAAUGCGCAGAUAUCAGGAGGAACACCGGUGGCGAAGGCGGGUCUCUGGGCCGAAACUGACGCUGAGGAGCGAAAGCGUGGGGAGCGAACAGG